CGCCUGGGGAGUACGGCCGCAAGGUUAAAACUCAAAUGAAUUGACGGGGGCCCGCACAAGCGGUGGAGCAUGUGGUUUAAUUCGACGCAACGCGAAGAACCUUACCUGGCCUUGACAUGCAGAGAACUUUCCAGAGAUGGAUUGGUGCCUUCGGGAACUCUGACACAGGUGCUGCAUGGCCGUCGUCAGCUCGUGUCGUGAGAUGUUGGGUUAAGUCCCGUAACGAGCGCAACCCCUAUCCCUAGUUGCUAGCAGUUCGGCUGAGAACUCUGGGGAGACUGCUGGUGACAAACCGGAGGAAGGUGGGGAUGACGUCAGGUCAUCAUGGCCCUUACGGCCAGGGCUACACACGUGCUACAAUGGCGCGCACAGAGGGCUGCAAACCCGCGAGGGGGAGCCAAUCUCACAAAACGCGUCGUAGUCCGGAUCGCAGUCUGCAACUCGACUGCGUGAAGUCGGAAUCGCUAGUAAUCGUGAAUCAGAAUGUCACGGUGAAUACGUUCCCGGGCCUUGUACACACCGCCCGUCACACCAUGGGAGUGGAUUGCACCAGAAGUGGUUAGUCUAACCUUCGGGAGGACGAUCACCACGGUGUGGUUCAUGACUGGGGUGAAGUCGUAACAAGGUAACCGUA
Molecule: ribosomal RNA, 634 nt
Filed under: uncultured Marinobacter sp.
Lineage: Bacteria; Pseudomonadati; Pseudomonadota; Gammaproteobacteria; Pseudomonadales; Marinobacteraceae
Description: bacterial SSU rRNA
Rfam family: Bacterial small subunit ribosomal RNA
Source: RNAcentral